Molecule: long non-coding RNA, 289 nt
Filed under: Erythranthe guttata (spotted monkey flower)
Lineage: Eukaryota; Viridiplantae; Streptophyta; Magnoliopsida; Lamiales; Phrymaceae
Description: long non-coding RNA (EGUT_LNC003268)
Source: RNAcentral
CGGGGGGAGCGUUUGUUGCCAUCGUGGCAAUGUAUUGCGCCACCGCAUCAGUGGCGGCGCGAGUGGAAGCUUCUGUUAUCAUUCGUUGGAGUGCCUCCUCGGUUAUUUGAACCGUUCGGGAAGCAGGUAGAGGUGGAGCCUGUAGUGGAGGAUCGGCGAGUGGUGGGUCCCGAGGGGGAAUCACCUGAACCUCGCGUGGUGGAUCCGGAGCACGUGGAGGAGGUGGCAAGCCAGAGCCUCCUCGAACUGGGAGGUUGUUAGCUGUGUCAUUCUCUCUCCGAGUGGACUC